Long non-coding RNA from Drosophila willistoni, 1136 nucleotides. RefSeq lists it as uncharacterized. The record is from RefSeq and is a predicted model, not a curated record. The transcript is spliced from 3 exons. Lineage: Eukaryota; Metazoa; Arthropoda; Insecta; Diptera; Drosophilidae.
UAAGUGUAUUAAAUUAAAACAAAAAUUUCGGUUCAAAAAAUAACAAAAAAAAGAAAAGGAUUCUAAAUUCUAAAUUCCUAACAGUGUACUUUUGGCGUUGUUUUUGUUUUUGUGUUUUGUUUUUCGAUUCACACUCGCACACACACAACUAAUUCACGUUAUUUGUUGUGUUGCGAAGAUGUAUGGACUGGAGCUAUUAUUUUUAUCAUCCAUCCUUCCAAGGAUUUACGUUAUCCGAUGCGGUAAUGAGAAAGAGUUGAAUGUAUAUAUAUAAUAUAUAUGUAUGCAGGCAGGCGGGCGGCGAUUGGAGAUUGAUGGAAGUGCUGGACUUACUGAACUCACACCCAUCCAACUGACUCAACUACCCUCCCACCCACUCAACCAACCACUCACCCUCCGAACACAUCCAACUCGUCCCACUCGAAGAUAGCUUCAUAGAGGAGCAGUAACGGUACCCGUUAAGUGAGUUUGCGUUACUCGUCCAAGGAUAUGGAAAGACAAAAAGAAGAAGAAGAAUAUAUACUCAAGCUAGAAAAAAUGAAUUGUUAUCGUUUAUAGUUUACAUGGUUUGUGUAUUUCCUAUAUGACACUUGCAACUUUUAUUCGUAAAAAAAUUUUGCAAUUUUUUUCCAUUAAUUUAUUGGAGAAAAGAAACAAGAAAUUGUGUUCAGAUACUAGAUCUCUGUACCAUUUUUUUAUUUUCUAUUUUUGGUCAAAAAUAUUGAAGAAAAAGUUGUUCUACAUAUGUGAUUAACGGUAACCAAUUAACUGGAUUUGCGUUAAUCACGUUUAUUCGGAAAUAUAGAAACGUGGAUGAAAAGCUUGAAGGAAAAUCAAAAAAAAAAAAAAAUAAUUUAUACAUAGAAAUAAGUCGCGCACACUCUUAAUUAAUAAUAACCUGGGGGGGAAUGGAAUCCAGAUCUUUUGGUUCUGCUGCGGUUACUUCUUCAAGGAUAUUCACACGGAUGUCCAUGAUGUUUCUAUUCGGAUUUAAAACGGAACCGGAUCUCAUUCGGCCUAUGGUGGAUUUGUGCUUAGCGUUUUUAAUCAGUUAUCGGUUUUUGUAAUCGAUUUCGAUCGGAUAGAAUGAAGUGCAGUUCUUCCCUACUAAUAAAGCAUUUAUAGUUGUACUAUAA